UACGUAGGGUGCGAGCGUUAAUCGGAAUUACUGGGCGUAAAGUGUGCGCAGGCGGCAGAGCAAGUCGAGUGUGAAAGCCCCGGGCUUAACUUGGGAAUUGCGCUCGAAACUACUUUGCUGGAGUGUGGCAGAGGAAGGUGGAAUUCCACGUGUAGCGGUGAAAUGCGCAGAUAUCAGGAGGAACACCGAUGGCGAAGGCAGGUCUCUGGGCAUUAACUGACGCUGAGGAGCGAAAGCAUGGGGAGCGAACAGG
RNAcentral lists this ribosomal RNA (253 nucleotides) under uncultured bacterium. RNAcentral's name for it is "partial 16S ribosomal RNA". It matches the Rfam family "Bacterial small subunit ribosomal RNA", at positions 524 to 776 of the family's 1533-position model. The record is from RNAcentral.